This 743-nucleotide ribosomal RNA is filed under the name uncultured bacterium. RNAcentral describes it as "bacterial SSU rRNA". It matches the Rfam family "Bacterial small subunit ribosomal RNA", at positions 94 to 823 of the family's 1533-position model. The record is from RNAcentral.
AGCGGCGGAUGGGUGAGUAACACGUGGGGAACCUGCCCCUAAGUCUGGGAUACCAUUUGGAAACAGGUGCUAAUACCGGAUAAUAAAGCAGAUCGCAUGAUCAGCUUUUGAAAGGCGGCGUAAGCUGUCGCUAAGGGAUGGCCCCGCGGUGCAUUAGCUAGUUGGUAAGGUAACGGCUUACCAAGGCGACGAUGCAUAGCCGAGUUGAGAGACUGAUCGGCCACAUAGGGACUGAGACACGGCCCAAACUCCUACGGGAGGCAGCAGUAGGGAAUCUUCCACAAUGGACGCAAGUCUGAUGGAGCAACGCCGCGUGAGUGAAGAAGGUUUUCGGAUCGUAAAGCUCUGUUGUUGGUGAAGAAGGAUAGAGGUAGUAACUGGCCUUUAUUUGACGGUAAUCAACCAGAAAGUCACGGCUAACUACGUGCCAGCAGCCGCGGUAAUACGUAGGUGGCAAGCGUUGUCCGGAUUUAUUGGGCGUAAAGCGAGCGCAGGCGGAAAAAUAAGUCUAAUGUGAAAGCCCUCGGCUUAACCGAGGAACUGCAUCGGAAACUGUUUUUCUUGAGUGCAGAAGAGGAGAGUGGAACUCCAUGUGUAGCGGUGGAAUGCGUAGAUAUAUGGAAGAACACCAGUGGCGAAGGCGGCUCUCUGGUCUGCAACUGACGCUGAGGCUCGAAAGCAUGGGUAGCGAACAGGAUUAGAUACCCUGGUAGUCCAUGCCGUAAACGAUGAGUGCUAAGUGU